RNAcentral lists this long non-coding RNA (824 nucleotides) under Musa acuminata (dwarf banana). RNAcentral's name for it is "long non-coding RNA (MACU_LNC003645)". Lineage: Eukaryota; Viridiplantae; Streptophyta; Magnoliopsida; Zingiberales; Musaceae. The record is from RNAcentral.
GGGGUUGACUUCAGUGGAACUUGGAACAGAUGGCUUCCUCCAGCAGAAGAGAUGAAGCAGCUCUCUGGCCCUGCUAGAGCUCGAGUGGAGCUGCAGCUGCAGUUGUCCCUCCUCGGAGCAAGCAGCUACAUCCACUGUGGCGGAGAUCUCUUGGGGGUUGACUUCUGUCGAACCGGGAAAAGAUGGCUUCCUCCAGCAGAAGAGAUGAAGCAGCUCUCUGGCCCUGCUAGAGCUCGAAUGGUGCUGCAGCUGCAGUUGUCCCUCCUCGGAGCAAGCAGCUACAUCCACUGUGGCGGAGAUCUCUUGGGGGUUGACUUCUGUGGAACCGGGAAACGAUGGCUUCCUCCAGCAGAAGAGAUGAAGCAGCUCUCUGGCCCUGCUAGAGCUCGAAUGGUGCUGCAGCUGCAGUUGUCCCUCCUCGGAGCAAGCAGCUACAUCCACUGUGGCGGAGAUCUCUUGGGGGUUGACUUCUGUGGAACCGGGAAAAGAUGGCUUCCUCCAGCAGAAGAGAUGAAGCAGCUCUCUGGCCCUGCUAGAGCUCGAGUGGAGCUGCAACUGCAGUUGUCCCUCCUCGGAGCAAGCAGCUACAUCCACUGUGGCGGAGAUCNNNNNNNNNNNNNNNNNNNNGGGAAAAGAUGGCUUCCUCCAGCAGAAGAGAUGAAGCAGCUCUCUGGCCCUGCUAGAGCUCGAAUGGUGCUGCAGCUGCAGUUGUCCCUCCUCGGAGGAAGCAGCUACAUCCACUGUGGCGGAGAUCUCUCGGGGGUUGACUUGUGUGGAACCGGGAAACGAUGGCUUCCUCCAGCAGAAAAGAUGAAGCAGCUCUC